GGAGGACCUGGCCAGGGGUGGCCCAGCCCGGGGACCCUUAGCCCUCCUAGGACGGCGGGGCGCCCGCGCUCCGGGACGCGGCUGCAGCUUUUCGCCAAAGGGUUUCACCACUUCUGAAUAAUGCCACAGUCUUGGGACCAGAUCUUCAACACAUGGGCCUCCGGGAGAUAGCCAAGAUCUAAACUGUAAUAGACGUGUAAAUAAAAGCCACCAUACAAUAGUAAUUUCACAAACUCUCACUUCCAGAAUGUAUGCGUGAGUAGCUCUGUGGAUCCACUCUCCAGUGGAUCAGAACUGGUGAAAAUUUUACAAAAUUACUACAACUAUUUACAGUCUCUGGAAAUUAUCCUAGGGAUAUACAGCAAAUGAAGAAAUGUUUAUCCACGAAAAUCUAAAGCUCGGUAAGAUCAGCAUAGCAUUUGAGGCAUAUCCUGCUUUUUCUUCCCUCAACCCUGGAUCAGCAUGACAGAUGCUCCACUCCAGGCAACUGUGGCCAAAAACUCAUGGCUCCUGAUCUCAUUCCCAGUCUAGGACUACAGUGUCUCCCUGGUGGGCCAGGUUGCCAGCAUUUCUCAUCCCCUUCCCCUGCUCCAUGUUGCAGAAGCGAAGUCCCAGGAGAGCGAAGGCAAGUAGUCAAGGACUCCAUUCACUAACCCAUCCUUGACUCACAGUGGAGGCUCAACACCAGUUGUGGAGUCAUUCAGAGAAACAGGAAAUUGGGAUCCAUAUAUGGAAGUCCAGGGGAGGUAACAGAAAUUACCUUUGAGAAGUCCCUGAUGUCAGACUAAAAGUCUUUGGAGGAGCCAGUAUAAAUAUUUUCAAAUAACUAAAAAAAACAUGGUUAAUGAAAUAAAGGAAGGCAUGUUGACAAUGUUUCAUCAAAUAGAGAAUAUCAAUAAAGAGACAGAAAUUACAAAAAAAAAAAAAAACCAGGGAAUUUCUGGAGUAUAAUGCAAUAGCAAAAAGUACAACGCAAAAAUCAAUAGGGAGGCUCAAUAGUGGAAGUUAAACUGGAAGAAGAAAAGAAAAUUAAAUGUAAAGAUAGAUCAAUAGAGAUGAUGCAAUUCAAUGAAUAUUUUAAAAACCUGAAGGAAGAUAAUGGAACAGAUACAGGCAAAAUGUCAUGUGGACAUGAAGACAGCCAUCCACAAGUCAAGGAAAAAGAUCUGGAACAAAUUCAUCCCUCACAACCCUCAAAAGGAAUCAGUCCUACUAACCCUUCAAUUCCUAACUUCUGUCCUCUACAACUCCAGAGGAAUUGAAGAGACACAGACUCAGUGCAUCAGGAUCAAUCCUUUGCUUUAAGACAAAACCUUAUUUUAUAUAUAAAAUCAUUUCUUAUUUAAAAAUGUUCUCCUUCUCCUCCUCUCCUAUGUACUGGUUCCUUUCUACCUUGUUUUUUUUUAAACCCAAACUCCACUUAUGA
Long non-coding RNA from Castor canadensis (American beaver), 1426 nucleotides. RefSeq lists it as uncharacterized. The record is from RefSeq and is a predicted model, not a curated record. Lineage: Eukaryota; Metazoa; Chordata; Mammalia; Rodentia; Castoridae.